CAGCCUGAUGCAGCGACGCCGCGUGCGGGAUGGAGGCCUUCGGGUUGUAAACCGCUUUUGUUUGGGAGCAAGCCCUUCGGGGUGAGUGUACCUUUCGAAUAAGCACCGGCUAACUACGUGCCAGCAGCCGCGGUAAUA
Molecule: ribosomal RNA, 138 nt
Filed under: Bifidobacterium porcinum
Lineage: Bacteria; Bacillati; Actinomycetota; Actinomycetes; Bifidobacteriales; Bifidobacteriaceae
Description: Bifidobacterium thermacidophilum subsp. porcinum partial 16S ribosomal RNA
Rfam family: Bacterial small subunit ribosomal RNA
Source: RNAcentral